UUUUGAAAAAUAUAUGUGAAUUUAGAAAAGAUUUUUGACAUUUUUAUGUGCGCUUUAAGAAGGACUAUCGAUCAUUUUUCAACCGACUAUAUUUUAAAUGAGUUUUUGGCUUUUCUUGCUCGCUGGAUACUUCGCUUUAACGAAAUUAAAGGGUGUAAAAAAUAGCAUGAAAUGAAGACACACAGUUUCUACUUCGUAGCUGCAUAAACCCUUAAGACGUCCGAGUUGCAUUUGAAGGCCAAUUUCUCAACAGUGACGAAUCCUGGAGAGCACGGACUAAUAGUACUUCAAUGUUGUGCUGACUACUUGGCAAGUAAUUCCCACCAUAUUUCGCAUGUAUCUUUUUUUAUUUAAUAAACACAUUGCGUAAGCAAUCGAAGCAAAUAAAUACAUUAACUCAAAUAUUCAAAAGCAGUUGAGGUACCAGUCGGCUUUGGACACAUACGUACAUAGCAUAUAAUAGUUUGAAGUAGGCCUUUUUGAAAGUUUCGUUUAUUAUUAUUUUCAAACGUAAGGUCAAUUGUAUUUCGCACUAUAUGCAUUUGUCCAAAUAGCUUUUACCGUUACCGUAGCCGAACGCAUUAGGGUCAAUCGCGUUGCUUCUACAAAUGGCCUUCAAUGGCUAAGCUUCUAAAGUCGUUGUAAAUUGGCCAAAAAUCAGCGUAAAUAUUUUAUUAAAUAUUGCCAUUAUUUUGAAUAUAUUCGCAUGGCAAACCAGUAUUUUAUGUUAAAUUCGAAAGUGAAUUACUAUUUGCUUCUAGAUUGUUUUUGUGUAGCGAAAAAUUCGAGUACUUGUAGCCGUGCUGUCGUCUACGAACUGCUCAAGGACAUGGGACAAGAUGAUAGACAAGCGGUCGAUUGUAGGCUGGUCCAGCCGGUUGGUGGAAAAUGAAAAAGAGUUAGGCUGAAUUAUAGAAACUCCUAGACAUUUGUAUGUAUGUAAUUACACUUGUGGAAAUGUAUGUAUGUAUGUACUCGUAUGUGCAUACAUAGUAUGUUUGCACUGUAGAUUAUCAAAUCUUUUACGGCUGAAAAUGCUGUUAGUCCACUUUGAAAUGGAGCAAAUUAAAUCGCUGGAAAAAUUAA
Ceratitis capitata (Mediterranean fruit fly) is the source of this 1086-nucleotide long non-coding RNA. RefSeq lists it as uncharacterized. The record is from RefSeq and is a predicted model, not a curated record. NCBI's taxonomy places the organism in Eukaryota, Metazoa, Arthropoda, Insecta, Diptera, Tephritidae. The transcript has 2 exons.